Molecule: ribosomal RNA, 467 nt
Filed under: uncultured bacterium
Lineage: Bacteria
Description: partial 16S ribosomal RNA
Rfam family: Bacterial small subunit ribosomal RNA
Source: RNAcentral
GAUGAACGCUGACAGAAUGCUUAACACAUGCAAGUCCACUUGAAUUUGGGUUUUUAACUUAGGUUUGGGUGGCGGACGGGUGAGUAACGCGUAAAGAACUUGCCUCACAGCUAGGGACAACAUUUGGAAACGAAUGCUAAUACCUAAUAUUAUGAUAAUAGGGCAACCUAUAAUUAUGAAAGCUAUAAGCGCUGUGAGAGAGCUUUGCGUCCCAUUAGCUAGUUGGAGAGGUAACGGCUCACCAAGGCGAUGAUGGGUAGCCGGCCUGAGAGGGUGAUCGGCCACAAGGGGACUGAGACACGGCCCUUACACCUACGGGAGGCAGCAGUGGGGAAUAUUGGACAAUGGACCGAGAGUCUGAUCCAGCAAUUCUGUGUGCACGAUGAAGUUUUUCGGAAUGUAAAGUGCUUUCAGUUGGGAAGAAACAAAUGACGGUACCAACAGAAGAAGUGACGGCUAAAUACGUG